CCUACCCACUGCCCUAUCAAGAUAGCUGACACUUUCGCACGACCACCCACAAAGUUUUAUUUGGUAAAGCGAAUGAUUAGAGGUCUUGGGGCCAAAACGCUCUCAAC
Molecule: microRNA precursor, 107 nt
Organism: Sorex araneus (European shrew)
Lineage: Eukaryota; Metazoa; Chordata; Mammalia; Eulipotyphla; Soricidae
Source: Ensembl